CCGCCCUUCCCGCCCCUCAGGGCGCGGCCCCUCAGGCGCCUUCGCCCCGCUCCGCCCCGACCCCGCGGUGUCGGUAAUUCACCCUCGCGGGGCUCCUUCGAGAUGUUGGGGGGCUGUGCUGUGCUCCUAGGUUCAGGUGAUGGAGGCAAAACACUGCAGGCAGCCACGCGGUGGGACCUGGCUGGGAGGGGUCACAACGGUGUAACGCGUACACAGCGGUGUGAGGCUGGGGGCGCUGCCACUGAGGUCAGAUGUUGGCCUGGUCUUCUGUCUCAUCCCCAACCCAGCCUGAAAACGUCCCUGAAAAUGUCCUACAGGUAGUCCAGGAUGCUCCAAGUUUGGUUGCUGAGGUCCUGCUGAGUUUUCAGAUUGGGAAAGCUCAGACAACGUCCCUUGCCAAGUUUAAUGGACAUUGCCAUGGGAGUUCUGAGGCUAAGAGUUCCUGGAAACAGAGGAUGUCUCGUGGCAGGCACUGCAGUGCCACGCUGAGCUGCCCAGACCCACACUCCAGCCCUGACAGCAGCACCCCAGAACCUUCCAGCUUGGAGAAAACCUCCCAGAGCAUCGAGUUCAACCUGGGAUUAAUCCCAUUUUCAACAAGUGCUGUCUGCAGUCAUUCCUGGGUCAUCCAGACACGGUGA
This 641-nucleotide long non-coding RNA is filed under the name Cyanistes caeruleus (blue tit). RNAcentral's name for it is "lncRNA (ENSCCEG00000013655.1)". Lineage: Eukaryota; Metazoa; Chordata; Aves; Passeriformes; Paridae. The record is from RNAcentral.